This is a long non-coding RNA of Gadus macrocephalus (Pacific cod), 628 nucleotides long. RefSeq lists it as uncharacterized. The record is from RefSeq and is a predicted model, not a curated record. NCBI's taxonomy places the organism in Eukaryota, Metazoa, Chordata, Actinopteri, Gadiformes, Gadidae. The transcript is spliced from 2 exons.
AGUAGAUUUGUGGUAAUGUUAUCUACUUGCAUUAAAGGUCAUUCCAAAAGGACUUGUGGAGCGCUGCUCCUUCCAAAGCCCCCAGAAGUUCAUAAAUGAUCUCCUACAUGGGAUGUAUACCAGGGAAUAUAUGGCAGGCCAUUCAGUGACUGGCCAGUCAUCCAGCAGCUGCACAGAAGGAAAACCUGGCCUAGCCAAACAGGACCUUGUUGAAAUAACAAAUGCUGCAAAGUUGAAGUUCACCUACGUAACUGAUACGAACAUAAAAGCAUUUAUACGACAAAAGCUGAACAAUGCUGCCAAAUUUCAGAAACAAUAAAUUAUCAACUGUUAAAAGAAAGUUAAACUUUUGUUCUAUUUUUUUUUGUAUUUUAGCAGUCUGUAGAAAACACUGUGUUAAUGGUGGUUGUAAGCCUAAUUUAUGUGCAGUGAAUUAUUGUUACAGCACUAUGGUUAAAAAUGGCAACAACAAAAAGUGAUACAGUUGAAAAUAUCCAUUAGGUAAAGUACAAUGACAUAGUUAAAAGAACAACAAAAUACUGCAUAAUGCAGUUAUUGUAAUGCAGUAUAUAUAGUACUAUGGUAUCGUAAUUGUAGUAUUCUAUAGCAAAAUAAAAGUAUAAUAAAA